RNAcentral lists this ribosomal RNA (313 nucleotides) under Erysipelotrichaceae bacterium. RNAcentral's name for it is "bacterial SSU rRNA". It matches the Rfam family "Bacterial small subunit ribosomal RNA", at positions 1 to 311 of the family's 1533-position model. Lineage: Bacteria; Bacillati; Bacillota; Erysipelotrichia; Erysipelotrichales; Erysipelotrichaceae. The record is from RNAcentral.
CAAAUGGAGAGUUUGAUCCUGGCUCAGGAUGAACGCUGGCGGCGUGCCUAAUACAUGCAAGUCGAACGAAGAGAGAAGCUUGCUUCUCUUUUAGUGGCGAACGGGUGAGUAAUACAUAAGCAACCUACCCAUUUGACCGGGAUAACAGUUGGAAACGACUGCUAAUACCGGAUAGGUGACCGGGGGACAUCCCCUGAUCAUUAAAGCUGGGACACAGCACGAAUGGAUGGGCUUAUGGCGCAUUAGUUAGUUGGCGGGGUAACGGCCCACCAAGACGAUGAUGCGUAGCCGACCUGAGAGGGUGACCGGCCAC